UACGUAGGGGGCAAGCGUUGUCCGGAAUCAUUGGGCGUAAAGAGCGCGUAGGCGGCCCUGUAAGUCCGCUGUGAAAGUCAAGGGCUCAACCCUUGGAUGCCGGUGGAUACUGCAGGGCUAGAGUCCGGAAGAGGCGAGUGGAAUUCCUGGCGUAGCGGUGAAAUGCGUAGAUAUUGGGAGGAACACCAGUGGCGAAGGCGGCUCGCUGGACCGGUUCUGACGCUGAUGCGCGAAAGCGUGGGGAGCAAACGGG
This 253-nucleotide ribosomal RNA is filed under the name uncultured bacterium. Its description in RNAcentral is "partial 16S ribosomal RNA". It matches the Rfam family "Bacterial small subunit ribosomal RNA", at positions 524 to 776 of the family's 1533-position model. The record is from RNAcentral.